RNA transcript from Hibiscus syriacus, 1051 nucleotides. It is a transcript of the gene named cellular nucleic acid-binding protein homolog, with no coding region annotated. The transcript is spliced from 3 exons. The record is from RefSeq and is a predicted model, not a curated record. Lineage: Eukaryota; Viridiplantae; Streptophyta; Magnoliopsida; Malvales; Malvaceae.
CGAUCAGCCAUUCCCUUUUUUCAUGUUUAACAAUGUCGCUCCUUUUUCUUUUAAUCAUCUCUGGGAUACUGGCCAAGGAACUUUAUGUCUAGAAAGAAUGGAUCGCUGUGAAUUUGAGUUUGUGUGUUUGUUUGUGGGGUUCUGGGCCUGAUGUAUCCUGCUGGGGUAAUGACUAUUUGUUAGAGACGGUUGAACUUCUAAUGUGGAAUUUUGUUGAGGUGUGGGGUCAUCAAGUACUCGGUGCUGAUUUCUGUGGCCUGUAAUUGAUAUAAGAUGGAUUCUUGUUGGCUGUCAUGUGUGUUUUACUCUUGAGACUUGGUGUUUAUGUUUUGAAGGUAAUAGUGAGAGUUUUGAUAUGGCUGGCUCAUGGAUGAUGAUAGGGGUGUGGUUGAACUGUGGACAGGGAGGAGGCGGCAGCAUUUAUUGUGUUGGUUGUGGUGGUGUUUCAUUUUUCUGAUCAGUGGUGGUAGUUGUUGAUAAGCAGAAGUUCGAUCAUGAGUUCAGACAGCAAGAGCCGAAGCAGAAGCAGGAGUCCCAUGGGUCGUAAGAUCAGAUCUGAUCGCUUUUCUUACCGUAACGCAUCAUACAGGAGGGAUUCUGGUCGGGGUUGCAGGCAAAAUAAUCUGUGCAAGAAUUGCAAACGAACCGGGUCACUUUGCCAGAGAGUGCCCUAAUGUGGCAAUUUGUCACAAUUGUAUUCUCCUGGGCACAUUGCGUCGGAAUGCACAACCAAGUCUCUAUGCUGGAAUUGCCAUGAGCCUGGACACACUGCUAGCAGCUGCUGUGGGAAGUCUGGACAUCAGGCCAGAGAGUGCACAGCACCUCCAAUGCCACCUGGGGAUGUGAGGUUAUGCAAUAACUGCAUAAAUCAGGUCAUAUUGCACUUGACUGCUCGAAUGACAAGGCAUGCAACAACUGUAGGAGGCCAGGUCACCUGGCACGCGAGUGCACAAAUGACCCGAUCUGCAACAUGUGCAAUGUAGCUGGCCAUGUGGCUAGGCAUUGCCCAAAAGGCAACAUGAUAGGAGAUCGAGGUGGUGUUGGUCGUAGU